CUAUUUCCUCUCUUUGUAACCCUGAUUUGGCCCUUAAGGCCAGCACCUUCUAUUGGACUUUUAAUCAACUUAGGUAGGGCAGUUAGUGUUUCUUAAGUUCAGGUAGUACCUUUUCAAAGCAUUUGAAACAGAGGAGAGCCAAUUAACGAAUAGUGUAAAAUUGGUGUCUAUAAUAAUCUAAAUUAUGCUGUACACUGGCCAUCGUCAUCCUAUGGUACAAUAUUUGACAGCCUGUAAUACCUUUUCUAUUUCCCUUGUCCCAGAUCCGUUGGUGCUUUUAUUUGUCAUGACAAUAACAGAUAGGGAGUUGGCAUGACAGACAUUGGUUAUUGAUGUGAACUCCAAAUUCAGUGGAAUGUGCCAUUUCCCCUUCAGCCAGCAAGGCAUUUUAUGGAGGGAGGGAACUACUGAGCUCCAGGUCCUUCCCUCUUUUUGGUUGUUGGUAUAAGAAGGCAGCCCCAAGGCCUUACUGCCUCUAAGCCUAAACAGACACUCAGGAUGCACAGUAAACCCUCACUACGCCGGUCGUCUGCAAGUGGAUGCACCCUGAAGGAGACCCAGGGGGACCUACUGUUGAGAGAGACAGAGACAUAAGAAAUCCUGAGUGCAAUUGGCUAAGACACAGCUGAACAUGCCACCGUCCUUCUGGAAGAAUAUGUGAAAAGAUGAGUCCUAGUUAGAGCUUCCUGGUAACGCACAUCUCUAUGUUUCGUUGCUUUUCUACGUCUAAUACUGAGUGCCAUGAACAUAUGCAUGGCAUCGAAGAAAUAAAGAGAGAACCCAGGCAUUUUGGAGCGCAGUGUCAAAGCCGGGCCUCUGUCGAGGUUCAUGGCCCUUCCGGCAGGACAAUGACCACAGGCACUUAAAUAAACACUCAUGAAUGGUUCACGAUAAAACUCUGGAUGUGCAAUGAGUCCAGAUCCAAAUGCUAUUGAAAACCUGGAACAGGUGAGAUCUGGAAACAGCAGCUGGGAGGCACCUUUCAAAUCUUGGACAAUUGAAAUAGUUUGCACAGGGAGAGUGGGCCAAACUGAAGCUUGUUUAGUGGGAGACAAUAUAGAGGUACAGAAAGCUCUUCAAUGGCUAUAGGAAGCACUUGAACUCAGUUACUUUGGCCAAAGUUUGUAUAAGAUAUAAUACAUGUUUUUAGGAAAUGUUCCACAAAGGUGAUGAUCUAAAUGCAAUUAAAAUACAG
This is a long non-coding RNA of Esox lucius (northern pike), 1195 nucleotides long. NCBI's taxonomy places the organism in Eukaryota, Metazoa, Chordata, Actinopteri, Esociformes, Esocidae. The record is from Ensembl.